RNAcentral lists this ribosomal RNA (803 nucleotides) under Curvularia sp. Its description in RNAcentral is "partial large subunit ribosomal RNA". It matches the Rfam family "Eukaryotic large subunit ribosomal RNA", at positions 86 to 907 of the family's 3401-position model. The record is from RNAcentral. Lineage: Eukaryota; Fungi; Ascomycota; Dothideomycetes; Pleosporales; Pleosporaceae.
ACGGCGAGUGAAGCGGCAACAGCUCAAAUUUGAAAUCUGGCUCUUUCAGAGUCCGAGUUGUAAUUUGCAGAGGGCGCUUUGGCUUUGGCAGCGGUCCAAGUUCCUUGGAACAGGACGUCACAGAGGGUGAGAAUCCCGUACGUGGUCGCUAGCUAUUGCCGUGUAAAGCCCCUUCGACGAGUCGAGUUGUUUGGGAAUGCAGCUCUAAAUGGGAGGUAAAUUUCUUCUAAAGCUAAAUAUUGGCCAGAGACCGAUAGCGCACAAGUAGAGUGAUCGAAAGAUGAAAAGCACUUUGGAAAGAGAGUCAAACAGCACGUGAAAUUGUUGAAAGGGAAGCGCUUGCAGCCAGACUUGCUUGCAGUUGCUCAUCCGGGCUUUUGCCCGGUGCACUCUUCUGUAGGCAGGCCAGCAUCAGUUUGGGCGGUGGGAUAAAGGUCUCUGUCACGUACCUUCCUUCGGGUUGGCCUUAUAGGGGAGACGCCAUACCACCAGCCUGGACUGAGGUCCGCGCAUCUGCUAGGAUGCUGGCGUAAUGGCUGUAAGCGGCCCGUCUUGAAACACGGACCAAGGAGUCUAACAUCUAUGCGAGUGUUUGGGUGUCAAGCCCGAACGCGUAAUGAAAGUGAACGGAGGUGGGAACCCGCAAGGGUGCACCAUCGACCGAUCCUGAAGUUUACGGAAGGAUUUGAGUAAGAGCAUGGCUGUUGGGACCCGAAAGAUGGUGAACUAUGCUUGAAUAGGGUGAAGCCAGAGGAAACUCUGGUGGAGGCUCGCAGCGGUUCUGACGUGCAAAUCGAUCGUCA